UACGUAGGGCGCAAGCGUUGUCCGGAAUUAUUGGGCGUAAAGAGCUCGUAGGCGGCUUGUCACGUCGGGUGUGAAAGCCCGGGGCUUAACCCCGGGUCUGCAUUCGAUACGGGCAGGCUAGAGUGUGGUAGGGGAGAUCGGAAUUCCUGGUGUAGCGGUGAAAUGCGCAGAUAUCAGGAGGAACACCGGUGGCGAAGGCGGAUCUCUGGGCCAUUACUGACGCUGAGGAGCGAAAGCGUGGGGAGCGAACGGG
Molecule: ribosomal RNA, 253 nt
Filed under: uncultured bacterium
Lineage: Bacteria
Description: partial 16S ribosomal RNA
Rfam family: Bacterial small subunit ribosomal RNA
Source: RNAcentral